AAAUUACUUUGGCUAAAAUGCAGAGCUCUUGUACAAGAGAAGUGGGAAACAACACUGGAGAAAAAUGGGGGCCAAUAUAUAAGGACUAGAAGGAAGGAUAGUAAAUACUUCAGGAACUCAGAGAACUAGCAGCUAACAUGAAGAUGGAAUGUGGCACUACCAAUCUAUUUCCUCUCACCUUUGCUGAAGAAAGACAUCCCAGAAGACUUCAUUUCUUAAAAUUGCAUCUGCUGACAAAUUCUAACAUGGUACUGGGGUGGCUGCCUUUCAUUCAACACAUGUCAAGGUGGGCCGUCCUUACCCCCUCUAGCCAAGCAGCUUUUCACAGCUGGACCUGGGCAUUUUCUGGAAUAAAAACAUAAACUGCAUAGCCAAGGAAUUUGCCCUCUGAAGCAAACAGCAUCCAAUCCAUCCUGUGGACAGCUCAAGGAGGAAAAAAAAAAUAAAAAAACCCGACAACAACCCA
RNAcentral lists this long non-coding RNA (466 nucleotides) under Phascolarctos cinereus (koala). RNAcentral describes it as "lncRNA (ENSPCIG00000000012.2)". The record is from RNAcentral. Lineage: Eukaryota; Metazoa; Chordata; Mammalia; Diprotodontia; Phascolarctidae.